GUGCUUGCUUCAGCAGCACAUACACUAAAAUUGGAAUGAUACAAAGAAGAUUAGCAUGGCCUCUGCUCAGGGAUGACAUGCAAAUCUGUGAAGUGCUCCCUAUUUUU
Choloepus hoffmanni (Hoffmann's two-fingered sloth) is the source of this 107-nucleotide small nuclear RNA. Lineage: Eukaryota; Metazoa; Chordata; Mammalia; Pilosa; Megalonychidae. The record is from Ensembl.